RNAcentral lists this ribosomal RNA (301 nucleotides) under uncultured bacterium. RNAcentral's name for it is "partial 16S ribosomal RNA". It matches the Rfam family "Bacterial small subunit ribosomal RNA", at positions 509 to 807 of the family's 1533-position model. The record is from RNAcentral.
CAGUCGCCGCGGGAACACGGAGGGUGCAAGCGUUAUCCGGAUUUAUUGGGUUUAAAGGGUCCGUAGGCGGAUCUGUAAGUCAGUGGUGAAAUCUCACAGCUUAACUGUGAAACUGCCAUUGAUACUGCAGGUCUUGAGUAAAUUUGAAGUGGCUGGAAUAAGUAGUGUAGCGGUGAAAUGCAUAGAUAUUACUUAGAACACCAAUUGCGAAGGCAGGUCACUAAGAUUUAACUGACGCUGAUGGACGAAAGCGUGGGGAGCGAACAGGAUUAGAUACCCCCGUAGUCCCUGUCUCUUAUAC